Molecule: unclassified non-coding RNA, 224 nt
Filed under: Hevea brasiliensis (rubber tree)
Lineage: Eukaryota; Viridiplantae; Streptophyta; Magnoliopsida; Malpighiales; Euphorbiaceae
Source: RNAcentral
CAGCUGAACUUUUUGGAAGGUGGGUUCUUGAAAAUCUUAGAAAAUGGCUACCAGCAAUGACAUUGUUGCAGCUACAAAGGGUCAAGAAGAACUAAGUGUAUUAAUCUCAGAGAGGGAAAUUUUCGACCAAUGUGGACCUGUGCACCUAACUGCUAUUGACUGGGAAAAUGUUGCUCAUCAACGAUCUGUGGCUGCCAGUUUGGUUCAGGGCGUCUACAUCCUAG